This 465-nucleotide ribosomal RNA is filed under the name uncultured bacterium. RNAcentral describes it as "partial 16S ribosomal RNA". It matches the Rfam family "Bacterial small subunit ribosomal RNA", at positions 28 to 507 of the family's 1533-position model. The record is from RNAcentral.
GACGAACGCUGGCGGCGUGCUUAACACAUGCAAGUCGUACGGUAAGGCCCUUUCGGGGGUACACGAGUGGCGAACGGGUGAGUAACACGUGAGUAACCUGCCCACAACUUUGGGAUAACGCUAGGAAACUGGUGCUAAUACUGGAUAUGUGCUCCUGCUGCAUGGUGGGGGUUGGAAAGCUCCGGCGGCUGUGGAUGGACUCGCGGCCUAUCAGCUUGUUGGUGGGGUAGUGGCCUACCAAGGCGGCGACGGGUAGCCGGCCUGAGAGGGUGACCGGCCACAUUGGGACUGAGAUACGGCCCAGACUCCUACGGGAGGCAGCAGUGGGGAAUAUUGCACAAUGGGCGCAAGCCUGAUGCAGCAACGCCGCGUGCGGGAUGACGGCCUUCGGGUUGUAAACCGCUUUCAGCAGGGACGAAGCUUUUUGUGACGGUACCUGCAGAAGAAGCACCGGCUAACUACGUG